AUUCAGGUGAAGAGUCCCAAAUAGGACGAAACACAGUUUGUCCUGAAU
RNAcentral lists this non-coding RNA (48 nucleotides) under Schistosoma mattheei. The record is from RNAcentral. Lineage: Eukaryota; Metazoa; Platyhelminthes; Trematoda; Strigeidida; Schistosomatidae.